GAUGAACGCUGGCGGCGUGCCUAAUACAUGCAAGUCGAGCGAACAGACGAGGAGCUUGCUCCUCUGACGUUAGCGGCGGACGGGUGAGUAACACGUGGAUAACCUACCUAUAAGACUGGGAUAACUUCGGGAAACCGGAGCUAAUACCGGAUAACAUGUUGAACCGCAUGGUUCAACAGUGAAAGACGGUCUCGCUGUCACUUAUAGAUGGAUCCGCGCCGCAUUAGCUAGUUGGUAAGGUAACGGCUUACCAAGGCAACGAUGCGUAGCCGACCUGAGAGGGUGAUCGGCCACACUGGAACUGAGACACGGUCCAGACUCCUACGGGAGGCAGCAGUAGGGAAUCUUCCGCAAUGGGCGAAAGCCUGACGGAGCAACGCCGCGUGAGUGAAGAAGGUCUUCGGAUCGUAAAACUCUGUUAUUAGGGAAGAACAAAUGUGUAAGUAACUAUGCACGUCUUGACGGUACCUAAUCAGAAAGCCACGGCUAACUACGUG
RNAcentral lists this ribosomal RNA (497 nucleotides) under uncultured bacterium. RNAcentral describes it as "partial 16S ribosomal RNA". It matches the Rfam family "Bacterial small subunit ribosomal RNA", at positions 28 to 507 of the family's 1533-position model. The record is from RNAcentral.